RNAcentral lists this ribosomal RNA (465 nucleotides) under uncultured bacterium. RNAcentral describes it as "partial 16S ribosomal RNA". It matches the Rfam family "Bacterial small subunit ribosomal RNA", at positions 338 to 795 of the family's 1533-position model. The record is from RNAcentral.
CCUACGGGAGGCAGCAGUGGGGAAUUUUGCUCAAUGCUCGUAAGACUGACGCAGCGACGCCGCGUGAAUGACGAAGGCCUUCGGGUCGUUAAGUUCUUUCGGCAGGGGAGAAAAUGCAUAUAAGUAACUUUGUAUGUAUUGACGGUACCUGUAUGAGCAGCCCCGGCUAACUCCGUGCCAGCAGCCGCGGUAAUACGGCGGGGGCUAGCGUUGUUCGGAUUGACUGGGUUUAAAGAGCACGUAGGCGGUGUUGUAAGUCAUUAGUCAAAGAGUCGAGCUCAACUCUAGUAAGGCUAGUGAUACUAUAAUACUAGAGUAUCAGAGAGGAUUGCAGAAUUCAUGGUGUAGCGGUGAAAUGCGUAGAUAUCAUGAAGAAUACCGUUAGCGAAGGCAGCAAACUGGCUGGAAACUGACGCUGAGGUGCGAAAGCGUGGGUAGCAAACAGGAUUAGAUACCCCAGUAGUC